This 253-nucleotide ribosomal RNA is filed under the name uncultured bacterium. RNAcentral describes it as "partial 16S ribosomal RNA". It matches the Rfam family "Bacterial small subunit ribosomal RNA", at positions 524 to 776 of the family's 1533-position model. The record is from RNAcentral.
UACGUAGGGGGCUAGCGUUGUCCGGAAUUAUUGGGCGUAAAGAGCGUGUAGGCGGCCCGGUAAGUCCGCUGUGAAAGUCGGGGGCUCAACCCUCGAAUGCCGGUGGAUACUGUCGGGCUAGAGUGCGGAAGAGGCGAGUGGAAUUCCUGGUGUAGCGGUGAAAUGCGCAGAUAUCAGGAGGAACACCAAUUGCGAAGGCAGCUCGCUGGGACGUAACUGACGCUGAGACGCGAAAGCGUGGGGAGCAAACAGG